UGAGCAAUCUGCCCUUCUCAUCGGAAUAAGCGUUGGAAACGACGUCUAAUGCCGAAUACGACCUCCUUUCGCAUGAUCGGAGGUGGAAAGCUCCGGCGGAGAAGGAUGAGCUCGCGGCCUAUCAGCUAGUUGGUGUGGGUAAUGGCCCACCAAGGCGACGACGGGUAGCCGGCCUGAGAGGGCGACCGGCCACACGUGGGACUGAGACACGGCCCAGACCUCCGUACGGGAGCAG
Molecule: ribosomal RNA, 235 nt
Filed under: uncultured bacterium
Lineage: Bacteria
Description: partial 16S ribosomal RNA
Rfam family: Bacterial small subunit ribosomal RNA
Source: RNAcentral